CAACCUCAGAUCAGGCGAGACUACCCGCUGAAUUUAAGCAUAUUAAUAGGCGGAGGAAAAGGAACUAACGAGGAUUCCCCAAGUAGCUGCGAGCGAACAGGGAGGAGCUCAGCACGGAAUCCCGCACGGCGACGCGCAGGGGGAUGUCGUGUGUGGGAGGUUCCAUUGUGCCGGGGGUCGGCCGCGAGUCCAAGUCUCCCUUGAACGGGGCCACAGCCCGCAGAGGGUGCCAGGCCCGUAGAGACCGCGGCUGCUCCCGGGAGGAGCUCUCCUCAGAGUCGUGUUCCUUGAGAGUGGAGCACCAAGUGGGUGGUAAACUCCAUCUAAGGCUAAAUAUGACCACGAGACCGAUAGCGAACAAGUACCGUGAGGGAAAGUUGAAAAGAACUUUGAAGAGAGAGUUCAACAGUACGUGAAACCGUUCAGGGGUAAACGGGAGAGAUCCGAAAGGUCGAAAGGGGGAGACUCAAUCCCGUCCGCGCGUCCGGUGCCGUUCUCGGUCCCAAUGGAUGCUGCCGGCCGCCGGCCGCGUCGCAAGGCGCGAGCCGGGUCGGAGUCGGUGGCACCGGGGCCGGAGGUCCGGCCGCGGCGAGGUGCACUUCUCCCCCCGAGUAGGACGUCGCGACCCGUUGGGCAGCACGUCCGGCCUAAGGCCCGGGAUGAGACCGAGGGGAUCGCCGCGCGAAUGCGCGGGUCAACGGUCCCCCGGACCCCGGAUGUCCUGGCCGGCGCCCGACGGCAUGUCUCGCGGAGAAGGCCCGCUCCCUCGCAGAGCGAGCGUCCGGCCCGGUGGGCAAGCUCGACGCCUGUGGGCAAGAGGUGCCGUGGCUUCCGCCACGUCCCCGGCCCCCGUCGGCUGCUGGCUCCCGGAGUCCUCGGACGGUAGCCGUCUCCCGUCUGCGGCGCUUAUGCUUCGGACGCUUUCCCGACCCGUCUUGAAACACGGACCAAGGAGUCUAACAUG
This 964-nucleotide ribosomal RNA is filed under the name Pseudophoraspis sp. VAM-2014. RNAcentral's name for it is "eukaryotic LSU rRNA". It matches the Rfam family "Eukaryotic large subunit ribosomal RNA", at positions 1 to 682 of the family's 3401-position model. Lineage: Eukaryota; Metazoa; Arthropoda; Insecta; Blattodea; Blaberidae. The record is from RNAcentral.